AGUCGAGCCCAACGGCAACAAUGUGCCCUAAUAGAACACUCUACACGAGUGUUUGCAUUUUUAUUAACAAACUAAAUCAAAUUAAUUUUAAAAAUCAUGGCGCGUUUAAUUAAUAAAUUUCCAGAACCUACACGAAAUGCAGCUCAAUACGCCAUUCGGUAUGAUCGAUUUGGCGCUGUGGCCAGAUUAUUUUGGCGCGGCUGAAGCUUAUCGCAGCUGAAUCAUGGCCUCAUUGGCGACGCAAUCCAGAGGUUGAAGGACAAAGAGCGUCAUUGCAUGGACAUGUCACUGCAGUAACUGAAGGUCUCGAACAUGGCAGGCAUCAAUUGUUCAAGAAACUGAUGAAGAUGGCCUCUGCGCAAUGCUAUGUGAUAUUGGCGUAAUUUGUGGAAGUUCUGUUUGAUCUUCAAAUAUACCUCCCAUCA
Non-coding RNA from Erythranthe guttata (spotted monkey flower), 425 nucleotides. The record is from RefSeq and is a predicted model, not a curated record. Lineage: Eukaryota; Viridiplantae; Streptophyta; Magnoliopsida; Lamiales; Phrymaceae.